RNAcentral lists this small nuclear RNA (150 nucleotides) under Salmo salar (Atlantic salmon). RNAcentral describes it as "U1 spliceosomal RNA". It matches the Rfam family "U1 spliceosomal RNA". Rfam says of the family: U1 is a small nuclear RNA (snRNA) component of the spliceosome (involved in pre-mRNA splicing). Its 5' end forms complementary base pairs with the 5' splice junction, thus defining the 5' donor site of an intron. Lineage: Eukaryota; Metazoa; Chordata; Actinopteri; Salmoniformes; Salmonidae. The record is from Rfam by way of RNAcentral.
AUACUUACCUGGCAAGAGAGACACCGUGAUCAAGAAGGCGGUUCACCCAGUGCGAGGCUCAGCCAUUGCACUCCGGCUGUGCUGACCCCUGCGAAUUUCCCAAAUUGCAUAAUUUCUGGUAGUGGGGGACUGCGUUCGCGCUCUCCCCUG